CAGCCAGACUCCUACGGGAGGCAGCAGUGGGGAAUAUUGCACAAUGGGGGAAACCCUGAUGCAGCGACGCCGCGUGAGUGAAGAAGUAUUUCGGUAUGUAAAGCUCUAUCAGCAGGGAAGAAAAUGACGGUACCUGAUUAAGAAGCCCCGGCUAACUACGUGCCAGCAGCCGCGGUAAUACGUAGGGGGCAAGCGUUAUCCGGAUUUACUGGGUGUAAAGGGAGCGUAGACGGCAGCGCAAGUCUGAAGUGAAAUGCCGGGGCUUAACCCCGGAACUGCUUUGGAAACUGUGCAGCUAGAGUGCAGGAGAGGUAAGUGGAAUUCCUAGUGUAGCGGUGAAAUGCGUAGAUAUCACGCAGAACCCCGAUUGCGAAGGCAGCAUGCCGGCUUCCGACUGACGCUGAAGCACGAAAGCGUGGGGAUCGAACAGGAUUAGAUACCCUAGUAGU
RNAcentral lists this ribosomal RNA (449 nucleotides) under uncultured bacterium. Its description in RNAcentral is "bacterial SSU rRNA". It matches the Rfam family "Bacterial small subunit ribosomal RNA", at positions 328 to 794 of the family's 1533-position model. The record is from RNAcentral.